RNAcentral lists this ribosomal RNA (253 nucleotides) under uncultured bacterium. RNAcentral's name for it is "partial 16S ribosomal RNA". It matches the Rfam family "Bacterial small subunit ribosomal RNA", at positions 524 to 776 of the family's 1533-position model. The record is from RNAcentral.
UACGUAGGGGGCAAGCGUUGUCCGGAUUUAUUGGGCGUAAAGAGCGUGUAGGCGGCCUGAAAGGUCAGCUGUGAAAACUCGAGGCUCAACCUCGAGACGUCGGUUGAAACCAUCUGGCUAGAGUCCGGAAGAGGAGUGUGGAAUUCCCGGUGUAGCGGUGAAAUGCGCAGAUAUCGGGAAGAACACCAGUGGCGAAGGCGGCGCUCUGGGACGGUACUGACGCUGAGACGCGAAAGCGUGGGGAGCGAACAGG